Long non-coding RNA from Ostrinia furnacalis (Asian corn borer), 577 nucleotides. RefSeq lists it as uncharacterized. NCBI's taxonomy places the organism in Eukaryota, Metazoa, Arthropoda, Insecta, Lepidoptera, Crambidae. The record is from RefSeq and is a predicted model, not a curated record. The transcript is spliced from 3 exons.
UGUUUCAGAUCACAAACACUGACUAUUUGCCAUGCCUCUUGGGAACUUGGAAAUGCUCAAGUCACUGGAGCAAACAUUGUUGAGAAUCAAGAGAGGCUAAUUGGUCUUCACAACAUUUGUGUAGGAUGCGGCCGCUCGAUUUUCAGUCAGUUCUCGCACAAUAUUGAGAGAAACUCCUACAAAUGAAGAAGGCCCAAUAGUUGAUAUUAUAUCACAGUGGAUACAUCCAAGACAGAUUACUCAAAGUGAUCAAGCAUGUACCACAUGUUGGUUACGCGCUCAGAGAACUCUCCGUCGUCAGCAAUUGGUUGAUGAGGCCAGAAACAUAAAUGAAGAAUUAACAACAUGUGUCAAUUGCAACAAAGAUUUGUUACAUAGCAAUGGCUACUUAUUGAGAAACGAAGACGAAAAUGUCAUCAACAUCAUUAAAGGCUGGAUAGGUAUAUCCUAUUAAUAUCAACCUCAUGGAUAGUAUUUGCCAUGCUUGUUGGCAACUUGCAAAUGAAGCAGCACGGCAAGGUUCUGAGUCACCAGAGACUGCAUCCCAACCGUUGGAGACAGAUGACCCUCCUGACUC